RNAcentral lists this ribosomal RNA (203 nucleotides) under Pseudomonas sp. ATCC 13867. Its description in RNAcentral is "partial 16S ribosomal RNA". It matches the Rfam family "Bacterial small subunit ribosomal RNA", at positions 794 to 995 of the family's 1533-position model. Lineage: Bacteria; Pseudomonadati; Pseudomonadota; Gammaproteobacteria; Pseudomonadales; Pseudomonadaceae. The record is from RNAcentral.
UCCACGCCGUAAACGAUGUCGACUAGCCGUUGGGAUCCUUGAGAUCUUAGUGGCGCAGCUAACGCGAUAAGUCGACCGCCUGGGGGAGUACGGCCGCAAGGUUAAAACUCAAAUGAAUUGACGGGGGCCCGCACAAGCGGUGGAGCAUGUGGUUUAAUUCGAAGCAACGCGAAGAACCUUACCUGGCCUUGACAUGUCCGGAA